AAGGUCCGGGCGUUAUCCGGAUUUAUUGGGUUUAAAGGGAGCGUAGGCCGCCGAUUAAGCGUGUUGUUAAAUGCCGCAGGUCAACUGUGGCCCUGCAGCGCGAACUGGUUGGCUUGAGUGCGCGGAAGGCAGGCGGAAUUUGUGGUGUAGCGGUGAAAUGCUUAGAUAUCACGAAGAACCCCGAUUGCGAAGGCAGCUUGCCGCAGCGUAACUGACGCUGAAGCUCGAAAGUGCGGGGAUCGA
This 243-nucleotide ribosomal RNA is filed under the name uncultured bacterium. Its description in RNAcentral is "partial 16S ribosomal RNA". It matches the Rfam family "Bacterial small subunit ribosomal RNA", at positions 529 to 771 of the family's 1533-position model. The record is from RNAcentral.